This 137-nucleotide ribosomal RNA is filed under the name Brachypodium distachyon (stiff brome). Its description in RNAcentral is "rRNA LSU_rRNA_eukarya". It matches the Rfam family "Eukaryotic large subunit ribosomal RNA", at positions 816 to 953 of the family's 3401-position model. The record is from RNAcentral. Lineage: Eukaryota; Viridiplantae; Streptophyta; Magnoliopsida; Poales; Poaceae.
CCGGCGUAUCGUGCGGGGCACAGCGCGGGGCAAAGCCAGAGGAAACUCUGGUGGAGGCUCGAAGCGAGACUGACGUGCAAAUCGUUCGUCUGACUUGGGUAUUGGGGCGAAAGACUAAUCGAACCAUCUAGUAGCUG